Molecule: non-coding RNA, 44 nt
Organism: Toxocara canis (dog roundworm)
Lineage: Eukaryota; Metazoa; Nematoda; Chromadorea; Rhabditida; Toxocaridae
Source: Rfam
CCAACGGCCCUCUUUAGGGCCACAAUCAAGUGAACCAAUCUUAU